UGAAUUUGUCCCCAAUACGCAUAACAAUCAAUUAAUGAGCUGGUCACAAAAUUGCUAGUAUCAAAUCCCCGUUUGAUGACAUGAACAUGAAGACUUGGACAAUGUUCAAGGGCUCCAUUUUGCCCCACACAUGCAUUAAUGACACUAGUCAAGGUAAAACAGUUGGGCCGGAUUUUAGUUCCUAACAUCUCUUUGAACAACAAGAGGGCAUCUCUUCCUUGUUUGUUUGCUGAAAAUCCAGCAAUAAGUGAAGUCCACGAAACCUGAUCAUGUAUUUUCAUGGCCCUAAAUAUCUUCCUUGCAUACACAAUUGCAAAACAUUUUGCAUAGAAAUCAACAAGUGCGCUACUUAGGAACAGGUUAUCUUCAUAUCCAGAUCGAAUCAGACAUGCAUGAAUUUGUAUGCCCAAAUGCCAAUUCAGGGUUUUAGCACAAGAACUAAGUGCAUUACAAAGAGCAAACUUUGUUGGCUUCUCCAUUAAUCCAUUCAUUCUGCUUAAUGACUCUAGUGCUUGGUAGGUACUUGCACUUUUAGAAUGUUUUCUAAUGCAAUCAUUUUUACAAGCUUUGCGAAAGAAUUUCUGCAUCAAAACAUCAGCAAAAAAAUCUUUUAGGUCUGUUUGGUAGGGAGAUUUUGGAGGACUAAGUCUAUAUUUUAAUAUAUAUUUGAGAAUUUUAAAGAAAACAACAAUUAAAAUGAUUAAUGAUCAUAUAACAUUUCAAUCAGCGCAGACUGGAGGCGACCGACCACGACGGCAACGAAGCCGGAGUCACAAAACGGAGAGGUGUAACGAGGAGAUGUGGCCGCCGCGGGUGAGAAAGAAGAGAUAGCAGAGCAACAUAGGGGCGAGAAGUAACGUUUUCAGAGGGAGCAGAGCAGUGAGUGUGUGACUGUGAGUCGCGGCAGAGGUGGAGUUGUGACCGUCGGUGCCGGAGUUGUGUCAAAGUUAGGGUUUCGACAUGACGGUGAUUUUUUAUUAAACUGAGGGUAGUUUUGUAAUUCAUCUUUAUAAAUUUUUUUGGGAAAGAAUGGGGUUGAGUGGUUUACCGCGGCCCCACUGUCCCUUCCCUUUCAUGUUCACUGCUG
Molecule: long non-coding RNA, 1087 nt
Filed under: Cicer arietinum (chickpea)
Lineage: Eukaryota; Viridiplantae; Streptophyta; Magnoliopsida; Fabales; Fabaceae
Description: long non-coding RNA (CARI_LNC000078)
Source: RNAcentral